AAUCCUGCAGAUUCCCUGAGGAAUAUGCACGGGGGGUUACCCUAAGGAAAAUCCAAGAGGAAUUCCUGCCAUGUGUUGCCUGGCUGACAAAGGGAACAUUUCCUCAGCUCAAGCAGCAGUGCUCUCUCACAUAUAAUGGGGUCACUGUUUCUCUGUUCCUCAUGUUAUUGAUACUUUCUAGCUGGGUUCCAAUUUGAUGAUAAAAUUUCAGCACUUCAAAUCCUAGCAGUGAGAGGGCUUCACAUCACCAAAAUGUCAGUCCUGUCACUUAAAGAAACACUUCUGUUGUUUCCUGUCACUGCUGCCCCUUUUUCUUAAUGAUGGGAAAUUUCAGUUGAAUUCUCAAGUUCUUUACUGGUAAAUUCCCUGAAUCCACUGUUUCACUACCCAGGGCCAGUGCAAAGAAGGUGCCCUGAGGGUGAGGUGGGAGGACUGAGCCUGCAUCCCAGAGGUUUGUUUUCCAGGCUCUGAGACAGACUUCCUGUGUGUGACAUGUACUAGUUCUGCUUUGUGGCCUAGUCAACAUAUUAAUGAAAGAUACUCAGAGAGUUCAGUAAUGGAGAUGAUAAAAGAACUGAUGUAGACAGAGUUCCUGGGCAGUGGGUUUUGUUUUUCUCUGCUUCACUUCUUCAUUGUGCAAAUGAGGAGUAAACAUCAUCCAUUUAGACAGAGCUGCCUGAAAAAGGGGCUGUGUUUUAGGCUGUGUGUUCAGGAAAUACCACUGUGAUCUGAACUGCAAUCUGUAGGUUUUGCUCUGUUAAUUCAUUUACCUACAAUGAUAGUUUUGGAUAUGGUUAAGAGGAUUUGGGAUGGGAAAUGGUAAUUUCUUGUUGGUUUUUUAAUUAUUAUUUAAGGUAGACUUGUGGUAUCUUUUUUCUGUUUGAGCUGUGCUGCCUGAAAUAGUGCAAAUAUUGCAGCUAAAUCUUAUUUUCAUUAUUCUUUUGCAAGCUCUGACCUUUUAAGAACACAAGCAGAACUGAUAUCUAUACAAGGAGGUUGCAAAGGUCUUGUGUAGCCUUUUGAAAACAAUCCUGUUUUGUUUGCAUGACAUAGUAGUCAGAAAAUGUAUCAGGAAAGAAUAAAGGAUAAAAGAAAACGAAUGACAUGACUGAGUACAGCAGCCAGAAAUAACCUCCUGACUGGGCUUGUUCACCUAGACAGAAAUUAUCAAUGUAAUGGAAGUGUGAUUUUAUACCAUCUUUAAGCAUAAAGGUGUAGCUUGCUUAGAUGUACAUUUAUGUCAAAAUUCUCAAUUUUGGUGGGGAUGCAUUAAUAAAAUGAUCCAAUAUUAAAACCAGUAUCCACAUAGUCUUACAUAAUAUAACUGUAUCAGUCUAAAAGCUGAUUUUUUUAGCAUACCAAUGAGCCCUGUCUGGGUUCGUUGUCUACAGACAAGACUGUGCAUAGUAAAUAAUAACCAUUGCAAAAAAAUAAUUUCUUGGGAUCCCAAAUUCACUGCUCUCCACAAUCUAGAUCUUCUCUUUACUGGGCUACCUAAUUUCUUCUGAAUUUCAGUCUUGCUCCUCACUUGGGUCAGGGUGAAAUGUGUUUCCACUGUUUGGUGUUUUGGUUUGGUUUUUUUUUUAAGAUUUAGAACAAAUGACAGGCUUAAACCAAGGGGUUUAACUAGGGAGGGAAGGACACUGGGUGCUGCUUCAGGUAAAGAAAGAGUGGCACUGCCAGGAAAUGUGUGUUGUGGUUUGGAGUUGGUCAUCCUGCUCAGAGGGUAGAACUGUGUAUAAGAGAAAACUAGUCAGUCAAAGUCACUUUUUCUUUCCCACACAAGGGGCAAGUCACAGAUGAGAAAUCUUGUUUUAUUUGAAGUUUGAAGAAGAGAACAGGAGUAAACAAAUCCGAUUUAGGCUUCACUGGUAGAUCUAGAGCUGACUUGAUUGCUGCCCUAUAGGGAAAGUUUCCUGUCAGCUCUGCAUCUCCCAAGAGACAUUUGCUGAGCUGGUGUGAUGAGAAGGUUCAGAGCUAGUGUCAGUCUGGAUGGCUCAGUAGUUUAAAUGUCUGGUUUGGGGAGGUAUGUUCUCAAGCAAAGCCUUCUAAAUAUAAAAUAGUCUUGUGAAGUUUUCAUCUUAUGAAUAUUCACUUGUUGAAUUUACAUUUUGUUUUUCAUCUCCGAGCUCCUAGAACGUGGCCUUGCACAGAGGACAGCCCUCCCAUCUGUCUGAAUCAACUCUGACAGAAACUUUCUGCAGCAGCAGUGCCUUGUUUAACAUGUCCAUGCUCUUCAGCUGCUUUCUUUGAGAACACUUUGAAGAUCCAGCCAUUGUCACAUGCAAGCCCAAACAAUCUGGAACUCGAGCAGAAUUUUGAUCUGCUGUGCACCCCUGAAUGUGCUGACUGCAAGCAGUGGAAGUGCAGGUGGAACCAAUAAUACUGCAAUUUUGCCUCGAGAGUAAAGUUGACUGGGCAGUGUUCUCAGUACAGAAGGUUCUUGAUGAACUUGGGAGAGAGCAAACACAUCUGUCACAUGCUCAUAGGGCAUUUGGAGUGGCUGCUUGGGAACUGCAGGGAUCUGCUGGGGUGGAGGGUUAUCAGAUGUACCUGCCUUCUCUGUACAGACAGGCUGUGGUUUGUGACCUCUUCUGGGACCAUCAGCUAUUGCUGUCACUCCUCUGCUUUCACAUGCAUUGCAAUCCUGGGAAAAGGAAUGAAAUGCAUAAAUAAGGGUGUGCAUUCAUCACAGCCCCCCCUAAUACUCUUGGAUGCAUGACUGCUUCUAGGCAGUGGGGUUUGUUAUUCUGUUCUCAUUUCCUUUCUUUUCUCAACUACGUAUCAAGUUAUUUCCUAACCCAGCUUCAUAUGGUGGCUAAUGGAACAAAAUUGAUGCAAUUGCUCCAAAGAAAAAAAAAAAGGCUUUUAGUCACUAGGUUCUAAUUAAAGCAACCCUUUUUUAUUUUUCAGAGGAGAAAAAAAAUGUCCUUCCCAGAGCCCACUUUCUUUGUAUCAGAUGAAUAUAUAUGCAAUAAUUUGCCAGCCUGAUGGAGGCAGAAGUCGAAAUAUGCUUGGAGCAGUUAUAUUCAACCACAUGCACAUGAUGAAACCUCUGGAGAGGCUGGAGCUACCCACUGCCUGGUGAUGGGAGCUGAGACAGGGCAGCUGACAGGGACCCACACCUGCCAUCCUGUUCACCCCAGCCUGGUCACCCUGAGACCCUCAGCACCUACCUAAAUCCACAGGGAAACUCUGCUUAGCAACCUCAGGAUGGGAACAAAGCACAGUGGUGGGGGACACUGUGUUUCAGUCAAGCCCCACGCACGCUGCCGGUCAUGGAGAUCCCCAUGGGGCUCCCAGUCUGGGAAGCAGAGGAGGUAAGGCAUGUUUGCCCUCCAUGCCCUAAACACAUCUCUUCCUGGGUUUUUUGCUACCUCUUUUAAGCUCUUUUAUAAAGUGCUUUGUAUUUACCCUUAUUCAAAAGAAACAAGUGGAAAGUGCUGUCUGGUUCUGACACAGGGGCCACGGUUCCCUGAAGAACAGUGCUGGAACCCAGCCUCUGCUCUCUCACCUCUGAUUAAACUGCAAUAGAAACAGACUGUAAAUCUCAGCAAAGGAGAGAAAGAGGGUUUAUUCUUUGGACUUGUUUUUUUUCUCAUCUUUACCAGCCAUGAAAAUGGCUGAGCUGAGUUACUGGCCACUCCGAGACGCUUUUCUUCUGCUCCAUCCAUCUGCUUCAAUCACACGGUGACCGGAAAAAAAAAUUAUCCAGUUCACAAAGCAUCAAAGAUUAAAAAAAUCAGUGUGGGUAACAAAGUGUGUGGCAGGCAGCAGUGCCACAGAGCGUGGGGCACACUUGCUAAUGUGGGAUUUGAGCUGCAGCUUGGAUGUAGGGCAGCAGUGUGGCCUCAUCCAGGAGGGUUUGGGGCAGCAGAAGUGAUGGGGCUGGGGAUAUAUGUGGGGCUGUGUGGCAGGGCUGGGCUGGGAAAAAUGCUGAGACAUUCCAUGGAAAAGAAAUCAUUUCCCCCUCCCCUUUUGUUUUUCUCAAGCUUUUUUUGACAGUGAAAGACUUGAUUUCCCUCUUUGAUUGCUGGGGCCCUGUGUUGUACUGCAAAUACCUCAUUGCACUUGGCUAUUAGUAUUCCUUUAAAUCUAUGUGUGUUGAAUUAACUGUUUUUGUUACAGCAUUAAAAGGGAUAACUGGAGCCAACUAAGUAAGCAGCUCUUUUGGACAAUCAGUGUCCAGGGUCAUGGAGACCCCCCCUUCACCUCUCUGCUGUCUCCUGAACCACUGGUUGUCAGUCCUGGUAACCAGGUUCAGACUGAGACUUCUGUUCCCAAUGUGCUUGCUCAGCUGUGCUCAGCUUGGCAUCGUCCUCCGAGGGCUGAGACCUCUGUGCAUCCCUGCCUCUCCUGGGGGAGCACUACUCCCAGCCUCUGCACUGGGAUCUGCAGUCCCUGGAGCGUGCCUUGCCUUCAACUUCAUCCUUUUUGUUUGUACCUUAUUCGUUUGUGGUUUCGUGUUUAGCUCGCUGAAAAUGUUGGUUAAACACUGGUGGGAGGGGAAGCUCAUAAAGAGCAUUUUGCUUUGGCUAUCUUAAAAAGGAAAGCAAAAGCAAAAGGCUUUUAAAAAAAUGUUUUCGUUUCAAAGUUAUAAAGGAAAGCUGGGUUAGAGAUGAGAAAAGAACAAAUCAAUGCUUGUGAAACCUGCUGUGGAGAAAGAAACACAAGAUCUUUUGUUUGAAGAUGAACAGAAAGCUGAAACCAGCAAAAAUUUCCCCCCUCCCCACCUGCACAGAUGCUUCAGGUUGGUUCUUCUAGAUUGGCACACUGCUGGAAAAAAAGCAAAUUCAUUCUUUUCUCUGUUGGGGCUCCAGGUUCCUGUUGCUUACACGUUAUCAUCUUGUAGUGACUUUGAUCCCUGAAGACUCCUUAGGUGCUUUACAAAUCAGGCAUGCAAAUCUUGGCUCAUCUGCCUCAGAGAUGCCACCAGGGCUGGCUGAGCCAGGAGGCUGCUGGUCAGUGUGGUGCCACCCUCCCAGUAGCAGCUGGGAAGGAUGGGAAGCACCUGCUCAUUCAGUAAGGCUUAUAAAAGCUUCUAGUGGCCACAUCACCACCAUUUGCAGGGAUGUUUUGUGCUUCCAGCUGUGGAACCCCAGUGGCCAAUUUAACCCCCAUUUCUCCUUCUUCCUUGAGGAGAUGAGAUGAUCUUUGAGAUCCCUUCCAACCCAACCCAUUCUAUGGUUCUGUGAGACAGCACAGACCUUCCAGACCUCCUGAUCCAAGUCCCAGAGCUGAGCAAAGACAAAGUCUCCUGUGAGCCUUGAAGCUGAAUUCCCUUCGAUGUGCCUGAGAGUGCUUGAGAGCCUGGCUGCCGGCGAUCAGGUCCCAAAACCACCGUGAGAGUCAUCGCAGGCAGGUGGGGAGCAGCACUGGAGCUCCUCUGGCCGUGGGGUACCAGGUGCUGGAGACACCCAGGUGGGUGCUGCCAAUGGAAGUGCUGCCUCCCUGCCCACGGGGACAGCUGUCCAGAGCACAGGAGCCAGCUUGUCCCCUGUUGGAGAGGAGACACCCCAGUACUGCAGGUAAAGGCCAGCAGAAAAACCUCUCCCCAUGUAAGGAGCAGAUCCCCAGCCCUGCCCUGGCAAAGCUGGCUCUCAGCCUGGAGGCCACGGGCACAGCCAGCUGCCACCUGCCCUGUGAUGGGCUCUGCAUCCCUCUCCCAACACAAAGGGCUGGAAAACACAGCCCUGCUCCAUUGCUGCUUAUGGACAUCAGUGUCACAGCCCUGCUCUCCGGGUUCUGGGGACGGGCAGGGGAACUGGCUAUAAAACCACAACUGGUCCUUGGGAAGAAAAGUCAAAACUCCUCUGGGUGCCAUGCAGGGCCUAGGACACUGCAGGAGGUGCAUUUGGUGUUGGUGGGAGACUCACCCUGGCCUGGGGCUGCUCUUGGCAAGGCGUCUGGGAAGUGCCUCUGUGGUGAGAAAGUGAGCGCUUGCCAGGUACAGAACUGGACAGAUCAAGAAGUCAAGAUUUUGCAUUCCAACUAUCUAUAGGAAAUAGGGUUUUUUAUUAUUUCAAGUUUUCAUAAAAAUCCAUAAUUAUUGAAAUCAAAGUUACAGAAGAAAGUUCGUAACUUUUUAUUGAUUUUAUUUCUUUUUACUUUCUUUUUCCCCCCCACCCUGUUGUUUUUCCCCUCUCAGAGUUAUAUCUGACACUAGAGUCCAUCAGACAAAGUCCUUACAAACACAGGAGUCCUGAAGACAUCGGAUGAAUGUUUUCCUGGUAUAAAGAAGAAGAAGAGGAGAAAGAGGUGGUGACAGUGUGGGUGCAGUGGGUUUGGACAAGGGGCGGAGGGCACGGUGGAAGGAGAGAGGUCGGUAUGUUUGUAGCACUGUUUGUUAAUUAUUUUUUUAUUUGUUCAUUUUUUUUCUUUAAAAAAACCCAACAAAACAACACCAUUAUUAUUUGCAAA
Molecule: long non-coding RNA, 6420 nt
Organism: Pseudopipra pipra
Lineage: Eukaryota; Metazoa; Chordata; Aves; Passeriformes; Pipridae
Exons: 4
Source: RefSeq, a predicted model, not a curated record